GGUCAGACAUUAACAUGCAUUGCACUAUAUACCACUUUAUACACAAUAAAGUGCCUAUAGAACCACUGUGUGUUAAUGUUCAAAUUUAAAGUCGAAUAACUGUUCACUUGUUUGUGUGGGAAAUCAGGUUUAUCUAUUUGGCAAAGCAUUCAAUCCAUAAGUCCAGCUUUUCUUUUCUACUCAUAGUUUAAUAAUACAUAUUCAGAUGAUACUGUUAUGAAAAGCAACUGUGCAUUUGUUAAAACAAGAAUUUAUACUUUCAAACAAGACAUUUUAGACUCUUAAAAAUAUUGAAGAGUUUGCAGUUAUUCAGCUAUAGUUUAUGUAUAUUACAGAUUUUUGUUCUGUACAAUUUACACAUAGAAUGUCAUUAGUAAUAAAACGUUAGUUCUUUUUUCUGGAAGUCGUGUGGCCACAGGAGCUGUUGGUGGAUUCAUCUUUGGCAGUUGUGUUUUUUUGUGUAUUGCAUGCGGGGGCCCCUUGCCCUUAAGUUAGGUUCACAUGUGCAUCUUUCCUCUAGGCGUACACUCCUGUGGCCUGAAGACGUCGUGCUGUGAAGGUGUGUUUAUUCUUACUAUGGUUUUUCUUUAUUCUUAUAUAGUCUACUAUAGCCAUAAAUAUAGUGAACCUGUUUUUGACCACCAGAAUUAUUGACAAAGUUGAAAGAAAUGCAAAAUUUAAAAUAAUUGUUGCAUUCCUUUGUGCUUCGUCUCAGUUUGUAUCUGCAAUGGUUAUUAAUACCAAUGCAGGUGCAAUUAUACUUAGAAGGUGUAAAUAUCAUGGUUACAUUUAGAAGGUGAAUACCAUGAUUUCCAAAAGUAAGACAUUCAUUCGAAAAAAUGUUCAAGAGAGAAGGUUUAAUUACAUUAAUGUUUGUUUUCUUAAUUACUUUUGGAAAUUCAUGGCAAUGUAAUACCCUAAAUCCUCUAUUUAGCCCCAUCCCUCUAAGAUAAGUCCCUUCUUUGUUAAAAUUUCUUAGCCCCCCCCCCCCUCCAAAUUAAGACUCCACAACUUCAGAAAGGAUAUAUCUGAAAAUAAAUUAGACUUUCUAUAAUAGAGGAUUUAUGGUAGUACCUGCUCUCCCCGUGAAGCUAGCCAUAG
This is a non-coding RNA of Paramuricea clavata, 1101 nucleotides long. The record is from the annotation of a GenBank genome assembly. NCBI's taxonomy places the organism in Eukaryota, Metazoa, Cnidaria, Anthozoa, Malacalcyonacea, Plexauridae.